Molecule: long non-coding RNA, 1132 nt
Organism: Brassica napus (rape)
Lineage: Eukaryota; Viridiplantae; Streptophyta; Magnoliopsida; Brassicales; Brassicaceae
Exons: 2
Source: RefSeq, a predicted model, not a curated record
UCUCUCACGUUUUUUUUGGGAAUUUUAAUCUUUUUUUUUCUGAGCUUUCGUUUUCUCUUCAACGGAAAAAAAAAUCGCUCAGUUCCAUAACUCUGUUUUAAUUCAGGCUCUAUUCCGACGACGGAACGACUCAAUCGUCCCGUUCUUCCUCCUAUCAGAGAUUGUUGUACCGAAGGACGAACGGCUAUGCUUGAUGUGAGCGCAGUCGCAAUUCUCGUGGACGGAGUUGACAACAGAGAGUCGUUCGUCGUCAUCGGCGGCAGAGAAUUUCGUGGCGGCAUUGUUAGCGAAGGAGGCAAGUGCAGUGGAAGACCUCGUAUCCUUUCUCGUGCUUCCUUUUUUACUCUCAACUUCUUUUCUAAUCCGUCGACAAUCGAAACCCCCCAAGGUCAAUCGAAACACAGUUGAUUUAGUUUGAUGAAUUUCCUUAAUUUUGUGACUGUGUGAAUCAGAGAGCGCUUACCCACAUUUCACCAGAGGAAGAUCCAAACUUUUACACCCAUUGAGUCGGAAAAUUAGUUUAGCAAGAUUGAGUGGUAUUAGUAUUAAGAUAGACACAACAAUAGGGAACAUAAGCAUCUAAUGUAAGAAGAAAGUUUGCCUACAGAACAACAAAACCAGCGAUACAUUUUUCUCUAUAUUUUGUUUUGUUUCAGGCUUCAAGGCAUAGGAAAAGCAGGGAGCAUUUUCGGUGAAGUGGUGAAAUUACUAAGCAUAUAAGUUCUGAGACGGAAGCAAACAUGAGGAUCAAAGAGGCUUUGCCGGGUGGCGACCAGCGUGCUUUGCGAGGAGCGUGUUGUUACUAUAUAUUCAACAAUAGAUUCUUUCUUCCUGUUGCAGAGUUGUUCCUUGAAAGCAUUUCUUCUGAUCUUGGCUUUAGUGGUGAUACAUUAGCUGAAGGUGUUGGAUCUUGGAUAUGUUCCGUAUUCAAUUAUUAAUCAUGUUCCUGGGCUUGUAUGUUACAUUGUCUAGGUGGAGCUCUAUGCAUAAGUAGUUUCGAGUGGAUGUCAUAGAGAAUGCGUUAGUCAUGGUUUUACUCGGACCAAGUCAUGUGCAUUGUGGGCAGUGGCGGUUUUGUUAUGUUUUUUUUUUUAUUUGUAUUCUUAAAAUUUUAAUAUUUUGAAUGUGUAAA